RNAcentral lists this ribosomal RNA (467 nucleotides) under uncultured bacterium. RNAcentral's name for it is "partial 16S ribosomal RNA". It matches the Rfam family "Bacterial small subunit ribosomal RNA", at positions 28 to 506 of the family's 1533-position model. The record is from RNAcentral.
GACGAACGCUGGCGGCGUGCUUAACACAUGCAAGUCGAACGGAAAGGCCCUGCUUUUGUGGGGUGCUCGAGUGGCGAACGGGUGAGUAACACGUGAGUAACCUGCCCUUGACUUUGGGAUAACUUCAGGAAACUGGGGCUAAUACCGGAUAGGAGCUCCUGCUGCAUGGUGGGGGUUGGAAAGUUUCGGCGGUUGGGGAUGAACUCGCGGCUUAUCAGCUUGUUGGUGGGGUAGUGGCUUACCAAGGCUUUGACGGGUAGCCGGCCUGAGAGGGUGACCGGCCACAUGGGAACUAAGAUACGGCCCAGACUCUUACGGGGGGAAGCAGUGGGAAAUAUGGCACAAGGGGCGAAGGCCGGAGGCAGCAACGCCGCGGGCGGAAUGACGGCCUUCGGGUUGUAAACCGCUUUCGCCUGUGACGAAGCGUGAGGGACGGUAAUGGGAAAGGAAGCACCGGCUAAUUACGU